GCGGAUUGAACGACGCGACAAGAACGA
RNAcentral lists this small RNA (27 nucleotides) under Bombyx mori (domestic silkworm). RNAcentral's name for it is "ovarian small RNA-16934". The record is from RNAcentral. Lineage: Eukaryota; Metazoa; Arthropoda; Insecta; Lepidoptera; Bombycidae.